RNAcentral lists this long non-coding RNA (3460 nucleotides) under Homo sapiens (human). Its description in RNAcentral is "HSALNT0375819". Lineage: Eukaryota; Metazoa; Chordata; Mammalia; Primates; Hominidae. The record is from RNAcentral.
GUGAUUCUCGUGCCUCAGCCUCCGGAGUAGCUGGGAUUACAGCCACCAUCACAAAUGAAAAAAGGAUGGAGAAGAACAAGUCUGGAUGUUGGGUUGGGGACAAUCCAGUAAGACUCUGGAGUGGGUAAAUGUCUGGUGUGGAUGAAAAGAGGCCUACAGAAGAAGGGGGAGUAGAAGUAGGUUUGAGUGAGAACAGUGCGCCCACCUCCACCAAACCGGGAGCAAGUGUGACAAUACAGACUCAGAAAAGUAAAUUGGCAUGGACUGCACUUCCGGGUUGGAGCAAGUUGAAAGGCAUCAAUGUUCUGGGCUGUGAUGUCACCUUCAAUGUGACCUUGGGUCAUUCUCAAGAUCCACCCCACAUCCCCAUAACCUGGGGGUUUUUACAUUCCCAGGAUCUUUGCCCACCAAGGCCACUGCCCUUUCCCAAAGCAUCUUGUUUCCACAGAGUCUGAAGUUCACAUACUAAUGUUCUGGAGUGAUGGACUCUCUCUUAAGUAUCUUGUUUACAGUCUCAUGCUGUGCAUUUUUUUUUUUUUUACCAUGUCUGCAUGGGAUAUGGCAAAGGGUUUGGUUUAGUGUAGAUAAAAAGAAUGCUGCAGAAUCAUUCGCUAGAACCUUUAGCAUAUGAUUGCAAAGUUGGUGGGUCUUUCUCUUUUUCUCUCUAUCUCAAAGUUCAGGGCAAGUAUAAUAAUAAGUUAUUGUGUUUGGAAACAAAUUCAUGCUUAAGCAUUCUUAUGUUAUAUCCCCUCUCUGUUCCCCAGACGUGGUAUGACAUCUACUUGUGGACACACUCUGCUUUCUGGUUUUUCUGUUUCUGAUUAGAAACUCAAAAACAAUAUGAGAAACAUACCUGAAAACAGCAGAAGAUCUGGAUCAUUCCGGCCAGCAAUUCAAAGUCUGCCAAAGGGAAAUCAAGUAUUGUAGAAACCUACGGGGCCUCUCAGAGCAUUUUACCAGAACUGUGGCAGGGUGACUGAUUGUGGUAUUCUCUUUGUAUUCUCUAUGCUGAAUCAUUUGCCAGAACUUCCAAUAUAUGAUUGCAAAACUAGACUUUUUUAAUGUUAUCUUGUCUCAGAUUUCUAAGCCUGAAAGAUUGAGGCUGUUGCUGAACGAUGCUUAAUUAACCAAGGCAUUGAGCUCCAACCAUGAGGCUUUGAGGAGUUUGAUAUCUAGCCCCUCUUGGCAUCAUAUGCUAAGACUGGCUGUGAGGCUAUGAGAAUCUUAAGUACCUGCACGCUGUUCAUAAGUGGUACUCUAAAACUCCUGAGGAAAUAAGGGAGACUGGAAUUAGUGGGAUUAGCUUGUGGGAUUAGCUUGUGUCCUUUGGCUUAGCCUCUUUCUCUCCAGAAAUUUCACUUUUGGCUCAGUCCUCACAGGGGAAGAAAGUCUUGUCCAAAGAUGGCGUCUACCCUGUGCUCCACUGUGUAUCCCAGAGGAGAGCAUCUUUACUGUGGAAUGGACUUCCAGCUGACUCAUGUUGGGGAAAGGAAGCAACACAGGAGCUUAAGAGGAAAAUUGAAAGAAACCACAGACCCUUUGAAAGAAGUGGCAAACUGCAGCUUACACCAUGAGCCAGGCAGAAAACUCUGAGUCCUCAGAGUGUGAAAGGAAGAGAAACUGCCUCUGGGAUAUGCACUCCCACUGGGGAACCUGGCAAUCCAGGCCACGGGGAAGACCUUAACCCUACCCAGUGCUGGAGCUGAUUUAAUGAGCUGAGGGGAGUAUAUGAGAAGGAGCAGCUUCAGGAUGUGCUUUGCUUGCACUCCUAGACUCUACUGGGGACAGAGGGAAGCCAUUCCUGAUCCUACCUCACAGAGGACCAUGCAGAAGUCAGCCAACUAGCUCAGGCGGUGGCCAUGGGCUGAGAGGAGUGAGAAGCUCCCAACUGAGAUUCACAAUAUAAUCUCUAGCAGGGAUGGACCUCCUUGACCAGAACUGAGGGGCAAGUGGGAAGUGCGCUGUGCCCACAGGUGUAGGAGCUGGGUGCCCCUGCUUCGCUAGCAGAUCAGGAGGGGCAUGGCCUGAGCAGUUUUUGUCUUGGCAGCCAGAGAAGGCUUAUGGUCUGGGACAGUUUUGAGUGCUGAAUGCAGCCUGCUUGCAACCUAGAUGGCCGCUGCCAGUAGAACACUGUGGGUCUGAGACCUGUCUUGCCAAGUGCAUAGGGGCUGAGUGGGGCUUACUGCCACCUGUACUCCCCACUUCCUGUGUGGACUCUUCUGUGCGGCAGGGGCAACUGCACUCCUCCCUGGAACAUUAUCCCAGCAUCCAGAGAACUGCCCUCUGAUCCCCACUGGGCCACUGAUUGCACCUGCACGUGGAUAGCCAGAGCGCGAACUUGCCUGACUCAGCCCCGACCUGGUUUGCCUUUUUACCCACCCUGGUAGCUUAACACAAAGGACAGAAACUUUCGGGAGUGUUAUGGACCUGCCCAUUGCUUGAGACACCAGAGUACCUCCCCUGGUCACAUAAGCCAAGCAUGAAUUCCACCACUACUACUGCAGUCAGUGCUCUUUCGCACCAACUGCACCUCCUGGCUAUAGGCCAAUCAACAUAGUCCAUUACAACAUCUGUAGGCAGAAUAACACAGCACUGGGAAGGAGAAAACUUUUGCAUGACUACAGCUACCACCAUUGCCUGCAUCACCCUGGCUAACCAGGAGGUCUUGAGUCUGUUCACAUGACCAGAUCAUUACUACUACAACUGAAAUUAGAGAAAGCCAGCACACUAAGGCUAUUUGUAACCAAAGAAUCUCACAGAGUUUACUUUACUCCUCUGCCAGCCCCAUCAGAGCUGGUGCUGGUACCCACUGCUGGGAGACUUGAGGAUAAGUCACAUCGCUGGACCCUUUGCAGACAUUCCCUAGCACAGGCCUGGAAUGUAGCAGCCCCAUUGGGUGGCCAGAUCCAGAGCCGCAGCAGCAAUCAUAGUAGUCUGGCACUCAGGGACUCCUACUCCUAGGGUAAGCAGGAGUGCACCACAUGAAGGGAGCACCCUGUGGGACAAAGGAAUCCAGAUGGCAGGCUUUGAGUCUCAGAACUUUACAAUUGUGGGAAAUUUCUUUCAGCAGAGAGACAGGUGCAGUGCUGGGCUCAGUGGGGAAGUCUGUGGCUCUACCUCACCAGUCAGGCAGCCCUGGUGCUUGUGAAGGGUCUUGGAGAAUAGGACUUCUCCCCCUCAUGCACCACUGCUGACACAGCUGGGGUUUCUCACAAAGGAACUCGGCAUGAGUGCACCUGUAGACAGCCUUUCUGGGACCCUUCAGGUGACUGCAUUCCCACAGGACAAGUGCCCUCCAGGCUCAGGCUUGUAUGAGAGGUAGAGUCACAAUUCAUCUCUACAUUCUUGCAGCUGAAAAGACGUGUCUGUCUGAAGGUCUAACAUCCAGUAUCUGUAAGGAACUUAAACAAAUUUACAAAAAACCCCUAACCCACCCCAUUAAAAAGUAGGCAAAGGAUAU